This 2824-nucleotide ribosomal RNA is filed under the name gut metagenome. RNAcentral's name for it is "bacterial LSU rRNA". It matches the Rfam family "Bacterial large subunit ribosomal RNA". The record is from RNAcentral.
UUAAGGAAAUAAGGCGCAUGGUGGAUGCCUUGGCAUCAGAAGACGAUGAAGGACGCGACGAACGGCGAUACGCCUCGGGGAGCAGUAAGUACGCAGAGAUCCGGGGAUUUCCGAAUGGGGCAACCCGUCAUUUUAUGACAUCCAUUUAUGGAGGACAACGCAGUGAACUGAAACAUCUUAGUAACUGCAGGAAAAGAAAGUAAUAACGAUUCCGCUAGUAGUGGCGAACGAACGCGGAGGAGCCCUUAUCCCACCCAAGAGUUACAAAUCCUUUGGAUAGGUGAACAGUUUUGGAAAAGCUGAUCAUAGAAGGUGAUAAUCCUGUAAUCGAAAUCUAAAGGACUCGGGAUAUGAGUACGGCGAGACACGUGGAAUCUUGUCGGAAUUUUGAGGACCAUCUCAUAAGGCUAAAUACUCUCUGAUGACCGAUAGUGAACCAGUACUGUGAAGGAAAGGUGAAAAGAACCCCGGGAGGGGAGUGAAAUAGAACUUGAAACCGUGUGCUUACAACAAGUCAGAGCCCGUUAAUGGGUGAUGGCGUGCCUUUUGUAGAAUGAACCGGCGAGUUAUACUAACGUGCGAGGUUAAGCUUGAAGGAGCGGAGCCGUAGCGAAAGCGAGUCUGAAUAGGGCGAUUUAGUACGUUGGCAUAGACCCGAAACCGAGUGAGCUAGGCAUGAUCAGGAUGAAGUUGGGGUAAGACCCAAUGGAGGUCCGAACCGUAGUCCGUUUAAAAGAGCCCGGAUGAAUUGUGUCUAGAGGAGAAAUUCCAAUCGAACUCGGAGAUAGCUGGUUCUCACCGAAAUAGCUUUAGGGCUAGCGUUGAAGUUUAGUGUUUUGGUGGUAGAGCACUGAAAGGCUGCGGGUCGCAUCUAGCGAUACCAAUUCCUAUCAAACUCCGAAUGCCAUUACAUAUAUUCAGCAGUCAGACUACGGGUGAUAAGGUUCGUGGUCGAAAGGGAAACAGCCCAGACCGCCAGUUAAGGUCCCCAAAUCCAUGCUAAGUGGGAAAGGAAGUGGAGAUGUCUAAACAACCAGGAGGUUGGCUCAGAAGCAGCCAUCCUUUAAAGAAUGCGUAAUAGCUCACUGGUCGAAUGACUCUGCGCCGAAAAUGUAUCGGGGCUAAAGCACGGUACCGAAACUGCGGAAUUCAACUUUAUGUUGAUUGGUAGGUGAGCGUUCCUAUCUGCGUAGAAGCAUGACCGGGAGGACAUGUGGAGCGUUAGGAAGUGAGAAUGCCGGUAUGAGUAACGAUAAGUAAGGUGAGAAUCCUUACCGUCAAAAGUCUAAGGUUUCCAGGGCAAUGUUCGUCAGCCCUGGGUUAGUCGGGUCCUAAGGCGAGGCCGAAAGGCGUAGUCGAUGGAAAAUAGGUUGAUAUUCCUAUACCUAUUAAGUGAAUGAUGGAGUGACGGAGAAAGAUAGUGCGUGCCAGUUAUUGGAUUCUGGUUUGGGGGCACAAGGAUGUUGGGCAGGUAAAUCCACCCAGCUUGUAUCUGAGGCCCUUGAUGUAAAACGCAUGAAUCUACGCUUCCAAGAAAAGCUUCUAGUGCUAAUCACUUAAAGCCCGUACCGCAAACCGACACAGGUGGACGAGAUGAAAAUUUAAAGACGCGCGAGAUAACUAUUGUUAAGGAACUCGGCAAAAUUACCCCGUAACUUCGGGAGAAGGGGGGCUCUCUGAGCCGCAGAAAAGAGGCCCAUGGAACUGUUUACCAAAAACACAGCUCUCUGCUAAAUCGUAAGAUGAUGUAUAGGGGGUGACGCCUGCCCAGUGCUGGAAGGUCAAGAGGAGUUGUCAGGAAACGAAGCAACGAAUUUAAGCCCCAGUGAACGGCGGCCGUAACUAUAACGGUCCUAAGGUAGCGAAAUUCCUUGUCGGGUAAAUUCCGACCUGCACGAAAGGCGUAAUCAUAUGGGCGCUGUCUCAACAAUAGACUCGGUGAAAUUUUAGUACCUGUGAAGAUGCAGGUUAAUUGCGACUAGACGGAAAGACCCCAUGGAGCUUUACUGUAGCUUGAUAUUGAUAUAUGGUACUUGAUGUACAGGAUAGGUGGGAGACUAUGAAACCGGGACGUCAGUUUCGGCGGAGUCGUCCUUGGGAUACCACUCUUUGAAUAUUGUGUAUCUAACCCGCAGGUUUGUACCCUGGAGGACAGUGUCAGGUGGGCAGUUUGACUGGGGCGGUCGCCUCCCAAAAUGUAACGGAGGCGCGCAAAGGUUUGUUCAGAAUGGUUGGAAAUCAUUCAUUGAGUGCAAUGGCAUAAACAAGCUUGACUGAGAGACUUACAAGUCAAUCAGGGUCGAAAGACGGUCAUAGUGAACUUCCGAUUUCGAAUGGAAGAGUCGGAAAUCAACGGAUAAAAGUUACCCUGGGGAUAACAGGCUGAUUACACCCAAUAGUUCAUAUAGACGGUGUUGUUUGGCACCUCGAUGUCGGCUCGGCGCAUCCUGGAGGUGGAUAAGCUUCCAAGGGUUGGGCUGUUCGCCCAUUAAAGCGUUACGCGAGCUGGGUUCAAAACGUCGUGAGACAGUUUGGUCCCUAUCUGUCGCAAUCGUUGGAAAUUUGAGAGGAGCUGUCCCUAGUACGAGAGGACCGGGAUGGACGCUCCAAUGGUGUACCGGUUAGAUCGCCAGGUCUACUGCCGGGUAGCUAAGAGCGGAAGGGAUAAACGCUGAAAGCAUCUAAGUGUGAAGCCCCCCUCAAGAUGAGAUUUCCCUCCUUUAUGGAAUAAGGUCCCACGAAGAACACGUGGUUGAUAGGUCAGGUGUGUAAGCGUAGCGAUGCGUUAAGCUGACUGAUACUAAUAGACCGAAGACUUAACUUU